Molecule: ribosomal RNA, 2194 nt
Filed under: Staphylococcus aureus
Lineage: Bacteria; Bacillati; Bacillota; Bacilli; Caryophanales; Staphylococcaceae
Description: bacterial LSU rRNA
Rfam family: Bacterial large subunit ribosomal RNA
Source: RNAcentral
ACCCGGAGAACUGAAACAUCUUAGUAACCGGAGGAAGAGAAAGAAAAUUCGAUUCCCUUAGUAGCGGCGAGCGAAACGGGAAGAGCCCAAACCAACAAGCUUGCUUGUUGGGGUUGUAGGACACUCUAUACGGAGUUACAAAGGACGACAUUAGACGAAUCAUCUGGAAAGAUGAAUCAAAGAAGGUAAUAAUCCUGUAGUCGAAAAUGUUGUCUCUCUUGAGUGGAUCCUGAGUACGACGGAGCACGUGAAAUUCCGUCGGAAUCUGGGAGGACCAUCUCCUAAGGCUAAAUACUCUCUAGUGACCGAUAGUGAACCAGUACCGUGAGGGAAAGGUGAAAAGCACCCCGGAAGGGGAGUGAAAUAGAACCUGAAACCGUGUGCUUACAAGUAGUCAGAGCCCGUUAAUGGGUGAUGGCGUGCCUUUUGUAGAAUGAACCGGCGAGUUACGAUUUGAUGCAAGGUUAAGCAGUAAAUGUGGAGCCGUAGCGAAAGCGAGUCUGAAUAGGGCGUUUAGUAUUUGGUCGUAGACCCGAAACCAGGUGAUCUACCCUUGGUCAGGUUGAAGUUCAGGUAACACUGAAUGGAGGACCGAACCGACUUACGUUGAAAAGUGAGCGGAUGAACUGAGGGUAGCGGAGAAAUUCCAAUCGAACCUGGAGAUAGCUGGUUCUCUCCGAAAUAGCUUUAGGGCUAGCCUCAAGUGAUGAUUAUUGGAGGUAGAGCACUGUUUGGACGAGGGGCCCCUCUCGGGUUACCGAAUUCAGACAAACUCCGAAUGCCAAUUAAUUUAACUUGGGAGUCAGAACAUGGGUGAUAAGGUCCGUGUUCGAAAGGGAAACAGCCCAGACCACCAGCUAAGGUCCCAAAAUAUAUGUUAAGUGGAAAAGGAUGUGGCGUUGCCCAGACAACUAGGAUGUUGGCUUAGAAGCAGCCAUCAUUUAAAGAGUGCGUAAUAGCUCACUAGUCGAGUGACACUGCGCCGAAAAUGUACCGGGGCUAAACAUAUUACCGAAGCUGUGGAUUGUCCUUUGGACAAUGGUAGGAGAGCGUUCUAAGGGCGUUGAAGCAUGAUCGUAAGGACAUGUGGAGCGCUUAGAAGUGAGAAUGCCGGUGUGAGUAGCGAAAGACGGGUGAGAAUCCCGUCCACCGAUUGACUAAGGUUUCCAGAGGAAGGCUCGUCCGCUCUGGGUUAGUCGGGUCCUAAGCUGAGGCCGACAGGCGUAGGCGAUGGAUAACAGGUUGAUAUUCCUGUACCACCUAUAAUCGUUUUAAUCGAUGGGGGGACGCAGUAGGAUAGGCGAAGCGUGCGAUUGGAUUGCACGUCUAAGCAGUAAGGCUGAGUAUUAGGCAAAUCCGGUACUCGUUAAGGCUGAGCUGUGAUGGGGAGAAGACAUUGUGUCUUCGAGUCGUUGAUUUCACACUGCCGAGAAAAGCCUCUAGAUAGAAAAUAGGUGCCCGUACCGCAAACCGACACAGGUAGUCAAGAUGAGAAUUCUAAGGUGAGCGAGCGAACUCUCGUUAAGGAACUCGGCAAAAUGACCCCGUAACUUCGGGAGAAGGGGUGCUCUUUAGGGUUAACGCCCAGAAGAGCCGCAGUGAAUAGGCCCAAGCGACUGUUUAUCAAAAACACAGGUCUCUGCUAAACCGUAAGGUGAUGUAUAGGGGCUGACGCCUGCCCGGUGCUGGAAGGUUAAGAGGAGUGGUUAGCUUCUGCGAAGCUACGAAUCGAAGCCCCAGUAAACGGCGGCCGUAACUAUAACGGUCCUAAGGUAGCGAAAUUCCUUGUCGGGUAAGUUCCGACCCGCACGAAAGGCGUAACGAUUUGGGCACUGUCUCAACGAGAGACUCGGUGAAAUCAUAGUACCUGUGAAGAUGCAGGUUACCCGCGACAGGACGGAAAGACCCCGUGGAGCUUUACUGUAGCCUGAUAUUGAAAUUCGGCACAGCUUGUACAGGAUAGGUAGGAGCCUUUGAAACGUGAGCGCUAGCUUACGUGGAGGCGCUGGUGGGAUACUACCCUAGCUGUGUUGGCUUUCUAACCCGCACCACUUAUCGUGGUGGGAGACAGUGUCAGGCGGGCAGUUUGACUGGGGCGGUCGCCUCCUAAAAGGUAACGGAGGCGCUCAAAGGUUCCCUCAGAAUGGUUGGAAAUCAUUCAUAGAGUGUAAAGGCAUAAGGGAGCUUGACUGCG